This 253-nucleotide ribosomal RNA is filed under the name uncultured bacterium. Its description in RNAcentral is "partial 16S ribosomal RNA". It matches the Rfam family "Bacterial small subunit ribosomal RNA", at positions 524 to 776 of the family's 1533-position model. The record is from RNAcentral.
UACGUAGGUGGCAAGCGUUGUCCGGAUUUACUGGGCGUAAAGCGCGUGUAGGCGGCAGACCAAGUCGGCGGUGAAAGCGCCCGGCUCAACUGGGCGAGGUCCGUGGAAACUGGUCAGCUGGAGGACGGUAGAGGCGAGUGGAAUUCCCGGUGUAGUGGUGGAAUGCGUAGAUAUCGGGAGGAACACCAGUGGCGAAGGCGGUUGCCUGGGGCUUUGCUGACGCUGAUGCGCGAAAGCGUGGGGAGCGAUCCGG